Molecule: ribosomal RNA, 510 nt
Filed under: uncultured microorganism
Description: bacterial SSU rRNA
Rfam family: Bacterial small subunit ribosomal RNA
Source: RNAcentral
GAGUUUGAUCGUGGCUCAGGAUGAACGCUGGCGGCGUGCCUAAUACAUGCAAGUCGAGCGAACAGACGAGGAGCUUGCUCCUCUGACGUUAGCGGCGGACGGGUGAGUAACACGUGGAUAACCUACCUAUAAGACUGGGAUAACUUCGGGAAACCGGAGCUAAUACCGGAUAAUAUAUUGAACCGCAUGGUUCAAUAGUGAAAGACGGUUUUGCUGUCACUUAUAGAUGGAUCCGCGCCGCAUUAGCUAGUUGGUAAGGUAACGGCUUACCAAGGCAACGAUGCGUAGCCGACCUGAGAGGGUGAUCGGCCACACUGGAACUGAGACACGGUCCAGACUUCUACGGGAGGCAGCAGUAGGGAAUCUUCCGCAAUGGGCGAAAGCCUGACGGAGCAACGCCGCGUGAGUGAUGAAGGUCUUCGGAUCGUAAAACUCUGUUAUUAGGGAAGAACAAAUGUGUAAGUAACUAUGCACGUCUUGACGGUACCUAAUCAGAAAGCCACGGCUAAC